GUGCUGCAUUUCUGGAGGAGGUGCUAAGCAGACGUCCUGGCCCGUCCCACCUUGCUGCUGCCACAAGGAGGGAGGAGUUCAGUGUGGGCUGGUUCUCGAAGGUCCCCACCCUCGGAACUAUCUUCCAGAGUCCCGGAGCUGUGCGGGGGCCCCGGAUCCUCUGGCUAACCGUCCGGAUAACCAACAGGACAGACAGAUGGUGCUUUGCCUGGAUGUAUCUGUGCACCACAUACAUGCCUACUGCCCACAAAAGUCAGAAGAGGCAUCCUAUAGACUGGAACUGGAGUUACAGAUGGCUGUGAACCACCAUGUAGGUGCUGGGAACUGAACCCACAUCCUCUGAAAGAACAUAAAUUGCCCUCGACCAUUGUAAGUUGCUAGAAGGAUAAGCCGUCUGUCUGUACCCAGUUGUGCCUAUUCCAGUAACAUUAUAACAAAGAUAAACAUGUCAACUGUUGGGAAGAGAUCGUGGAUUCUGCCCCCCUUAAGACUGGCUUGUGUGUUACUCCAGUGUGAAGACCAUGCAUUUAAUUCAGUCUGACCAAGUAGAAAAUAAGCUCCGAACACUGGUGCUCCCCACUGCCCGCGCCACCUGGACCGGCCUCCAUCCAUUCGUCUCCCCCACCGCUGCCUUCGAGGGGAAAUAUGACAGCGUAAUGAACAGUUGUACGACGUGCUAUAAAAAGGCAAUUAAGGGAACUAUCAGACUGGGACAAGCCAGCGUGACCCGGUUAAUAGCUCUGAGCUCUGAGUGGGGCCGAGGGGAGGACGGGCUGAAGGAGGGGGAGGGGACUUGCUGUUUACAGUGAGGGGCUGAAGUUAGUCUAGCAACUAUCAGCUAACAAAGGGCCCUUGGCUGCCCUCAUGGCCGCUGGGUCCAGGGACAACUCUAGGGUCAUGUUAGUUGAGAGUAAAGCUCUGCUCACAACCCUGCGCUGGUGGCCUUGACCUGGGCAAAUGACCCCUAGUCUCUUGGCUACAGUUUCCUGUUUUGUUAAAAGGGAUGAUGCCGGGAACUGUGUUCCAGAAGUGGGGGAAAGGAUACAUUUUUAUUUGCGUUCCUCUGUGUGUGUGUGUGUGUGUGUGUGUGUGUGUGUGUGUGUGUGUGUGUGUGUGUGUGUGUUUGUGUAUGUGUAUGCAUACAUCAUAUACAGCAUAAACAGCAUACAUCAUAUGUCAUAUACAUAUAUAUCAUAUAUACCAUGUACACAUGCAAUACACAUACACGCACAUAUAUAUGUGUAUAUAUGGGGAUUUCUUAGAAUCACUUGCAGGCUAUGGUUCAAUUAAUCCAACAAUGGCAAGUUACAAACAGAAGGUUCAAGAAUCCAGAAGUUUCUCAGUCUGUGGGGCUGAUGUCUCAGCUGGUCUUCAGCAGAUGCUGGGAUUCUGAAGAAGUAGGCUCUAAUGCAGUGGUUCUCAACCUUCUUGAUGCUGCAACCUUUAAUAUAUUUCUUCAUGUUAUGGUGACCCUCCACCAUAAAUUACUUCACUGCUACUUCAUAACUUAUUUUGCUACUGCUAUAAAUUGUAAUGUAAAUAUCUGAUAUGCAGGAUAUCUAAUAUGUAACCCCCAGAAGGGUCACUACCCACAGGUUGAGAAUGGCUCUAAUGUCAGUGAGGGAAGGAAUGGACUUGCUAGCAAGGCAGAGCAAACAAAGAGCAAAAGCUGCCUUCUUCCAUGUACCUUCCAUGUAGGUUUCCAGCAGAAGGUGUGGCCCAGGAUAAAGGUGUGUCUUCCUGCCUCAAGGUCAAAGGUGUGCACCUUCUUGCCUCAAAGGUCUGAACUAGAAGUGGAUUUACCUGCUUCACACAAAGCAAAAGUAAUUUCUCACAGGCGUGCCCUCCAUUUCUGGAUCAUAUUUUAUUCCAGAUGUAGUCAAGUUGACAACCAAGAAGAACCAUCACAAGGUCUGCCCAGGAAGCCAUCUCCCAGCCAGGAUGGGAAGGUUUUCAUUGUGGAAUGUCAGUGCAGGAAUUGGCCCUUAGCAUCCAAAGGAACUUAGGUGGAGGCUCUAUGUGAUGUCCCAGCAGGGAGCUCCAGUUGAAUACAAUCUUGGGUUGUGGUGAGUGCUAGAGGGUAGUCUGGCCCUUCACCCUUCAUGCAAUGCAAACUCUCUGGGCAGAUCUAUAGUCAGCCUUGGGCCAUUUGUUUCCCUUUUAGGAUCCCUUGAGUCACCUCCUCCAUUCCCCAGGCUCUGCUGCCUUCCUAUUUUUUGUUUGUCAUCCACAUGACCUGCAGGACGGGAUCAGAGACACUCAUGCUCGCCCUAGUGCUUGCUUCUCUUGGCUUCACAGUGCGGGUGGGAGGAGUGAUGGGUUUUCAUACUACACAGGGUAGGAAGUCACCACUUGGCACAUGGUAAAGGCCCAAUGGGUACCAGUUAUUGUUUAGAUCACAACAUGGCUCUGGGUUUGUAUUUAGUACGCAACUCAUGCUGACCAUAGAGUGAGUGAAUAUUUGGUAACUGUUGUCUGAAGUGUUGGAGGAAAUCUCACCUGGGUCUUGUUGUCUAUCAGACCUCUGAGCCCAUUAUCCAUCAGUCCCAUAGGGAGAUGAUCCUGUCUAGCGGUUAGAGAAGUGUGCCAUCCAUAGAGUGGUCCCUAUACAUCCCCACCUGCAUCCGCAUCCUGUGCCUGAAUUUCUCAGAGCUCAGGGAGCAUUCAGCUCUCCCACCACGGGUGUUUAUCUUAAAAUAGGAAACCAGUAUGCUCAGGGUCUGCAGAGACCCCAUUCCCCCGCCCCUGCCCCCGCCCCCAUCCCCCACUCCUGCCCCCUCCAGUGCUGCUGCAGAUGGAAGCAACUGACAGCCAGCCCAGUGACAAAGGAGCAAUCAACAGUCAUUAGGGCUCAUUUAAGGACAGCUCAAGGAUGUCUUGAAAAUCCCAGCAUGCUCCUCACUCCAGAUGAAGAGGGUCUGAGUCCCUGGGCUCUUUCUCUUCAGCACCUACCACAGAGGAGGGCUGUGCCAGGCAAGUGGCCCAGGACUUUAUUCCUCAGGCCUGUGUGCUGGCAUCCCUUACCUCUGAAGGUACAAUGGCACUGAGAGCCAAGUGUGGGUCUCACCACUGAGCCACCCUCACAUCAGAAGCAAAAUUGAUCCGAGUCACCAGAGCAGAGCAGAGGCCAAAUGUAAUCUCCUAUGUGGCCAGGAGACUCAUCUGACACACACAGAACCUCGGUUUCUGCUCCUGUUCACUGGGCAUAACUAGACCUUCCCCUCAUAGUGGCCAAGAGGAUUGAAGGAAGGAAAUACAGUGCUUACAUGCAAUAUGAACAUGCAUACCUAUUCCAUGGGAUCACUGCUCAUCCUCAGGUCUCUACUUAAGAGGCCACCUCCAGCUUGCAUGUAGGUUCUUUUCAAGUCUCAAGUUUCAAGCAUGUAUUCUACUCCUAAGUACUUUGACACCCUCUGUGUUUCCCUGGAAUGUUGCACACAUAUAUGAUUCUGGGCCCGAAUCCAGGUGCUUAGUAUGAAUUGUGUCAAAGAGGAGGCUCUUCACAGACCUGUGGGGAAACCACUGUGCUGACAGCCCAGCAAGGGCUAAAUGGGAUGAUGAUGUCACUGGAAGCAGAGUUCCCAUUACCCUGGACUUGGGGAGGUGGGAAUGAGUCCUUAAGUCACCCAGCUUUGUAUAUUAGCAAGACUGGCCUUCUUCUUCUCACCCUUGCUCAGAUGUUUUCCUCUUUGGACAUUCUAUGCUUGUCCAGGGAGUCCUGCUGGACCAUCCAGCUCACAGUGGUCUGUAGAAAUGGAACCUGCCUUUCUCCAGCCAUAGACUGGCUCUCAGGGGAUGCAUAUGGGCAUAGUCUGUGUUCUUGUCCCAGCAUUUAUCAUAGAUAGUUCUCAUUUUUCCCAUCUGGUGUGUUGAGUGUCUCUUGUGUAUCACCUGGUUAUAACCUCAGCUCCAGUCACUAACUCCAGUCCAAAGGACCAUUCUUGGAAGCAGCAAGGUUCCAGGGCACUGCAGGGAAGGCAGAGGCUUCAGGAGAGCUGGGACCAGGGCCCUUCUCUGCUUUUUCUCAGACUGCAAGGCUCUCAGACCAGAGUUAGAUGCUUGGCUCCAGCUGGCCAAACUCCUUAAAACAAAGAGACAGUCCUACCCCAGGGGAGUCACCUUUGAGAGGAGAGGUUCAGGCGCAGCUAGCAUUGAGUUUAAAGAUGCCUUUUGAAGACAACCAGUAAGAACUCACCCCAGCACUGCACACCAGUGUUCACAGUGUUACAGUGUCCAGGCAUGACCCUGGCAGGACUUCUGGGAGUCUCUUGACAAGAUAUCAGGUCUGCCAUUGCUUCCCCAGGUGGGUACGGGUAGAGUGCAGCAAAGCAGGAGCAGGGAUUUCACUUUUGCCACCCAGCCUUCGGCGUGUUUACCCCUUUUCUCUUCUUUUCACUCUCCUUCUCAGGAUGGCCUCUGACCUCCCCAUGGAGGCUUUUCUUGAUGUCUUUAUCUCUAUCAGCCACCACCAGCUCUGCCCCUCGGCCACCAUGGGAGCACAUGCAGGGACCACAGGCAACACACAACAGAGAUGUGUAGGAUAGGAAAAUGACUUUGAAAAUCCCCGAGGCUCCUCGGGAUCCAUCUUAAUGUUUCUGGUCUAAGAUCAAUAGGUGAGGAGACCUCCACGCCUAUAAUUAGCUCGAAUCCUCGAGGAGAGGGACCGGAAGGAGAUAUUCACUCAGCAUCCCCAGUCAGCAGGCAAGGGACAUAAGCUCUUAUUAUGGCUUUUCCCAGAACAGAAGUUCCUAUGUUUCCUCUUUUCCUAAAUCCCCUUUUAUCUCAUAUGACUCAGAAAUGCAUGUGCCUACCUGUUCACGGUAUGAAAUGCAUGUGAUGAACUCUAACUCCUGUUUCCUCCACGGCAGACUUGAACUGCAUGUGGCUAUUCCUGGGGAGGUGAUCUUAGCCUGUGAACACAGUGUGAGCCACACAGGCAGAUGUGUCAUUGACCCCUCCAUCUGCUUAUUUAUUUGCUUGUUUGCUUAUAUUUGUUUUGGGUUUUUUUUUGCUUUUUUCUAGAUUAAAACAAUUUUCUAAUAUUUUGUUUUAUGUGCAUACAUGUGUGUGCAUGGGUGCACACAUGCCAUGGCACAGGUGCAGAGGUCAGAGGACAAACUUGUGGGGAUCACUUCCAUCUCUUCACCAAAGAUCAAACUCAAGUGGUGUCAGGUUUGGUAGCAAAUGCUUUUAUCUGUUGAGCUAUCUUUGCAGACUCUUAAUGACUUUAUUGGCAUAUAUUGAUUAUACAUAAUGAUGCGAUUCAUAUAAUGUACUUGAUCUGCUUGCUCUCUACUGUUACUCUCUCUUGUCCUCUUCCCACUGAUACUGGCCCCCUUUGACACUGAUACAUUAUUAAAUUUUGGUUUUGUAACCUGAA
Long non-coding RNA from Mus musculus (house mouse), 5380 nucleotides. RefSeq annotates it as predicted gene 14204. The record is from RefSeq and is marked validated. The transcript has 3 exons. Lineage: Eukaryota; Metazoa; Chordata; Mammalia; Rodentia; Muridae.